CGGUAGUCCACGCCCUAAACGAUGUUCACUAGUCGUCGGAAUGCUAGUCAUUUCGGUGAUGCACUUAACAGAUUAAGUGAACCGCCUGGGGAGUACGGUCGCAAGAUUAAAACUCAAAGGAAUAGACGGGGACCCGCACAAGUGGUGGAGCAUGUGGUUUAAUUCGAAAAUACGCGAAGAACCUUACCUAGCCUUGACAUUGAAGAAACAGAGUAGAGAUACACUGGUGCCCUUCGGGGAAUCUGAAAACAGGUGCUGCACGGCUGUCGUCAGCUCGUGUCGUGAGAUGUUGGGUUAAGUCCCGCAACGAGCGCAACCCUCGUCCUUAGUUGCCAGCAGGUUAAGCUGGGCACUCUAAGGAGACUGCCUUCGUAAGGAGGAGGAAGGUGAGGACGACGUCAAGUCAUCAUGGCCCUUAUGGCUAGGGCUACACACGUGCUACAAUGGGGGCGUACAGAGAGUUGCGAUACCGCGAGGGUGGAGCUAAUCUCAUAAAGCGUCUCUCAGUUCGGAUU
Molecule: ribosomal RNA, 515 nt
Filed under: uncultured prokaryote
Description: bacterial SSU rRNA
Rfam family: Bacterial small subunit ribosomal RNA
Source: RNAcentral